RNAcentral lists this long non-coding RNA (199 nucleotides) under Elaeis guineensis (African oil palm). RNAcentral describes it as "long non-coding RNA (EGUI_LNC005398)". The record is from RNAcentral. Lineage: Eukaryota; Viridiplantae; Streptophyta; Magnoliopsida; Arecales; Arecaceae.
UAUACUUGCAUAUGUAUGUGAAAAUAAUAGCCAAUAGAAAGAAAAUUUAUAUAACCAGUUUCAGUUGUAACAGAAAAAACUAUCUGGUUUCACCCUACAGAUUAUUUGUUCACAAGAACCAUUUAGGAUUUUGAUUUUGUAGAAAUUGGUUUUUGCAUGCAUCUUGCACAUGUUGUAUUAUGUUUAUUUGCACAGCCCA